AAGGCUUUUCUCUAGCUUGUAUAGCUUACUGUAACAGCCACUGACAGAUAGGUAAACAUCGACCCUUAGUCUAUUCCAAGAUUGAAAGGAUUGACAAAGAAAGAAAACCAUCGGAAAAGGAAAAGGAAGGAUCAGAGAAGCAGAUGGAGCUGGUGUAGGCAUCCUAGAGGUAGGAUCUAGAUCUAGCCUUUGAGAAAUUUCCCCUCUUCUCGAUUUAACCAGUCUUUUUUCAAUCCAUUUCUUUCACACUUACCGGGAUUUAUUAGUAAACCCUCUUUCUUAUUGUGAAGGUAAGAGGGGCUGAUUACGGUAAGGCUUGAGAAGGUCAGGUUCGGAGG
RNAcentral lists this long non-coding RNA (338 nucleotides) under Elaeis guineensis (African oil palm). RNAcentral's name for it is "long non-coding RNA (EGUI_LNC070970)". Lineage: Eukaryota; Viridiplantae; Streptophyta; Magnoliopsida; Arecales; Arecaceae. The record is from RNAcentral.